This 332-nucleotide ribosomal RNA is filed under the name uncultured bacterium. Its description in RNAcentral is "bacterial SSU rRNA". It matches the Rfam family "Bacterial small subunit ribosomal RNA", at positions 475 to 792 of the family's 1533-position model. The record is from RNAcentral.
UUAGCUGCAGAAGAAGCACCGGCUAACUCCGUGCCAGCAGCCGCGGUAAUACGGAGGGUGCGAGCGUUAAUCGGUAAUUACGUGGGACGUAAAGCGCAUGCAGGUUGGUUUAGUUAAGUCAGAUGUAGAAACGGCCCGGGGCUACAACCGUACGGUAAUUGCUAUUUAGAAACUGGACAAACUAGAGUACUGUAGAGGGGGUAGAAUUUCAGGUGUAGCGGUGAAAUGCGUAGAGAUCUGAAGGAAUACCGGUGGCGAAGGCGGCCCCCUGGACAGAUACUGACACUCAGAUGCGAAAGCGUGGGGAGCAAACAGGAUUAGAUACCCCGGAG